CCUCUCUCAGGGUAGCAUCUGGAGAGUUUCCAGUACUCUACCAGUCUCGGCUACGGGAGGGAGAAUCAAGCAGAAGCUACCCAUUCCACUCCUAGCUUGGCCAGUAGCUAGAGAGUGGAAGGCAAUCUGCCACAAGU
Small nucleolar RNA from Ornithorhynchus anatinus (platypus), 137 nucleotides. The record is from RefSeq and is a predicted model, not a curated record. Lineage: Eukaryota; Metazoa; Chordata; Mammalia; Monotremata; Ornithorhynchidae.